CCUACGGGGGGCAGCAGUGGGGAAUAUUGGACAAUGGGGGCAACCCUGAUCCAGCAAUGCCGCGUGUGUGAAGAAGGUCUUAGGAUUGUAAAGCACUUUCGACGGGGAGGCGGUACCCGUAGAAGAAGCCCCGGCUAACUUCGUGCCAGCAGCCGCGGUAAUACGAAGGGGGCUAGCGUUGCUCGGAAUGACUGGGCGUAAAGGGCGCGUAGGCGGCUUGUACAGUCAGAUGUGAAAUUCCUGGGCUUAACCUGGGGGCUGCAUUUGAUACGUGCGGGCUAGAGUGUGAAAGAGGGUCGUGGAAUUCCCAGUGUAGAGGUGAAAUUCGUAGAUAUUGGGAAGAACACCGGUGGCGAAGGCGGCGACCUGGUUCAUACUGACGCUGAGGCGCGAAAGCGUGGGGAGCAAACAGGAUUAGAUACCCUUGUAGUC
RNAcentral lists this ribosomal RNA (432 nucleotides) under uncultured bacterium. Its description in RNAcentral is "partial 16S ribosomal RNA". It matches the Rfam family "Bacterial small subunit ribosomal RNA", at positions 338 to 795 of the family's 1533-position model. The record is from RNAcentral.